AAGCAUGUCAGCAGGACACUUUUUGGUUAAUUGCUUGUAUCUCUCCCAAGCUUCAUAGAGGGACUCACCUUCUUUCUGUUGGAAGGUUUGAAUGUCCACUCUAAGCUU
This is a small nucleolar RNA of Arachis stenosperma, 108 nucleotides long. NCBI's taxonomy places the organism in Eukaryota, Viridiplantae, Streptophyta, Magnoliopsida, Fabales, Fabaceae. The record is from RefSeq and is a predicted model, not a curated record.